RNAcentral lists this long non-coding RNA (1198 nucleotides) under Equus asinus (donkey). Its description in RNAcentral is "lncRNA (ENSEASG00005028081.1)". The record is from RNAcentral. Lineage: Eukaryota; Metazoa; Chordata; Mammalia; Perissodactyla; Equidae.
CACGACCCACCUCUGGGACUCGCGGGGGGCGUCCUCAGAGGGGCGACUCCUACAAAUGAAGGCCAAGUCUGGGGAAAGUUUCUGGCGGUGUCAAGGGUCAGUUUUUUCUUGUAGGGACGUUCUCUAGCCAAGAGAUGGAAACUCCAGCGAUUUUGUCCGCGGGUUCUGCUGACAUCACAAACCACACAUCACUCCGUGUCAUCUUGUGUAGUUUGUACAAAGACUCUCCAUCAUUACUGCAGCCUUCUGCACGUUCGCCUUUCAAAGCCCCAGCAGGUCACAAAUGAUUAAAGGUCAGAGGACAAAGAAUGAUCCAGUCACCGUGGCAAACAGUGCUGUUUCAAGAGGGCUCGGCCUCAAAACUCCAUGAAAAUUCCCUUCUGGUCAAACUGAAGGAUUCAUGUGCUGCUCUUGCCUAGAACAUAACCAGGUACGAUCAUGUCAUAACAUUUGGAGGGUGAAGGGAGAUGUGACUAUGGUUCAUUGUCUGAUUGAAAGAGCGGAGGUUCAGAAUCCUACAGGGAUUUCCUGCUGUCAGACUUCUGGAUCCUCGCAGAGCUGAGACCAGACUCCAAACCUGUGGACUUCUCGUUCUGAGUACUUUCUACCGUGGCAUGCUACCUCAAAGUGAGCCUGCUGGAAAAUCUACCAUUAAUCUUCGUGAAAAGAAAUUAAACUUUAAACCUUGCACACUAAAAAGAAAAAGCUGCUAAGGACAGAUGAAAUUUCUUCUCCUGGGCUCUAGUCCCUGUUUUCCGCACCAGCUGUGGACCUUCAUCCUGGCCACUAAGGGACUUGGCUUUGAUCAUAUUCCAAAGAUCUGGCAAUUAAUUAGCAUGAGCGAUAUUGUUAAGAAGUUACACAAAGAACUCAUAGUCAUUCUGUUGUAACCCGUGUUCCUUCACCUUAAAAAAAUUCUGAGUAGAUGAGUAUGAUUCAGGAGAAGACAUCAUCAAUUAAUUCUAAAGAUGAUCACUGAUGACCUGAACUUUUUCUAGUAUUUGGGGAAGGGUCAAGGAUAUUGGCAACAUUCUUCAAAGAAACAGUGGUUUCUAGUGCGCCUCAGUGGUAGUUGGACUAGAGAUGGUUUUGCUAUCAUUGAAUUCCAUGGGGAGUGGGAGGGCUCUGAUUAACUUGACUCCUGAUUUAACAAAGGAAAGCUCCUCACUUCUAGAGUGGAAGAAACCCUCCUGGGAAG